RNAcentral lists this ribosomal RNA (404 nucleotides) under Erythrobacteraceae bacterium S123. RNAcentral's name for it is "bacterial SSU rRNA". It matches the Rfam family "Bacterial small subunit ribosomal RNA", at positions 29 to 478 of the family's 1533-position model. Lineage: Bacteria; Pseudomonadati; Pseudomonadota; Alphaproteobacteria; Sphingomonadales; Erythrobacteraceae. The record is from RNAcentral.
AACGAACGCUGGCGGCAUGCCUAACACAUGCAAGUCGAACGAACCCUUCGGGGUGAGUGGCGCACGGGUGCGUAACGCGUGGGAACCUGCCCUUAGGUUUGGAAUAACAGUGAGAAAUCGCUGCUAAUACCAAAUAAUGUCUUCGGACCAAAGAUUUAUCGCCUUUGGAUGGGCCCGCGUUGGAUUAGCUAGUUGGUGAGGUAAUGGCUCACCAAGGCGACGAUCCAUAGCUGGUCUUAGAGGAUGAUCAGCCACACUGGGACUGAGACACGGCCCAGACUCCUACGGGAGGCAGCAGUGGGGAAUAUUGGACAAUGGGCGAAAGCCUGAUCCAGCAAUGCCGCGUGAGUGAUGAAGGCCUUAGGGUUGUAAAGCUCUUUUACCAGGGAUGAUAAUGACAGUAC